Molecule: transfer RNA, 73 nt
Filed under: Nematostella vectensis (starlet sea anemone)
Lineage: Eukaryota; Metazoa; Cnidaria; Anthozoa; Actiniaria; Edwardsiidae
Rfam family: tRNA
About the family: Transfer RNA (tRNA) molecules are approximately 80 nucleotides in length. Their secondary structure includes four short double-helical elements and three loops (D, anti-codon, and T loops). Further hydrogen bonds mediate the characteristic L-shaped molecular structure. tRNAs have two regions of fundamental functional importance: the anti-codon, which is responsible for specific mRNA codon recognition, and the 3' end, to which the tRNAs corresponding amino acid is attached (by aminoacyl-tRNA synthetases). tRNAs cope with the degeneracy of the genetic code in two manners: having more than one tRNA (with a specific anti-codon) for a particular amino acid; and 'wobble' base-pairing, i.e. permitting non-standard base-pairing at the 3rd anti-codon position.
Source: Rfam by way of RNAcentral
GCCCGGUUAGCUCAGAUGGUAGAGCAUCAGACUUUUAAUCUGAGGGUCAUGGGUUCGAGCCCCAUAUCGGGGU